This 1224-nucleotide long non-coding RNA is filed under the name Salmo salar (Atlantic salmon). RNAcentral describes it as "lncRNA (ENSSSAG00000109560.1, ENSSSAG00000121739.1)". Lineage: Eukaryota; Metazoa; Chordata; Actinopteri; Salmoniformes; Salmonidae. The record is from RNAcentral.
CACCGUUAUAGUGCAAUUACUGUAUUGUUUAGUGUUGUGUAGUGGCUUUGCUGGCAUGCACCCCACUUGUUUAUUUUUGCCCCACCAAGAUUUACAUGUUAAAAUCGCCACUGCUUAUACCUGUAUAUUGACAUCACCAUUGACUUUAUCUUGGUUGCUUGUUUGGUAGACCUCAAAUAAACGUAAUGUACAGUACAAAAAAGGAAGUCAUUUGUGUUGCUUGCCACAAAGCAGUAUCUGUUUAAUAUAUACAUUUACAAUAUGGUACAAUUUAUCUCAAUAAAAAUAAUGAGUAAAAAUAGUAUUCCAUUUGAAAUGAUCUUCUCUCGUACCCACUCCCUACCCCAGUCUGUCAUCUAUACAGAGUAUUCAGUAUGGUCAUUGUUACCGAAGAUUUUCUAAGUACUUCCUUCAAUUAAUACUUUCUCAUACAGCGUUCAAGCCAAGGCCAUAAAUUAAUUCUACAGCUAUCAAUGGUCCUAUUCAAUCAAAACCGUUAUGGGAUAUCUAGGGCAAUGCUAAUAUCCCUUUCAUAUAUAGACAAAAAUCACACUAUUUUACCAUGCCAGCUUUUUAUACAGUACAAGCUUUUUUUUGUCAAUCUGAAAGAGGUAAGGGUUAAAAAAAAACAUGGUAAUUUAAAACCCACCUAAAGACCUAGUCAUGAUUCCUGUAUUUUCACAGACCCUGUAACCAAAAUACAGCUAUCAGGUCUGUUAACAGUACGGUUCUCCGCUUCUUUGCAGGUAAAUUAAUUAACACUUCCAUUGUUUAACGGCACCCCCCUACCCUCCCAAUUUGUCAGUUACCCACUGAUAUGUAUAAAAGGGCAUACCUGCAAAUAAGUUGUAAAUAAGGGGCUGUUUGAAACAUUGCCUUAUCUUUUUUACAGGUAACAUACCAUAUCUUGUCUGAAAUGUACAUAAGAAAGAUUAUUUUGACUUAUUUGUUGUUUCAUUGUUUUAUAUUGCAGAGCUAUAAUUUGUUUUAUGUGUUACUCUGGAAACUUGGCUACAGAUUAAAUACAACUCUUAGUUUUCAACAGUUGCCACUGGUCUUCAAAACAUUCAGUUCAUCUUUCUUACCUUCUUUCACUCUCUCGUUUUGUUCUUCCACAGUCUCCUGUCUUUCUCUGCAGGAUCUCACAGCGCAGAAUGGAAUCACUCCUCUCUCUCUCUCUCUUCCCUUGGUUGUCUGAUCAAUUUCUUUUGUAGGAAAUUGUCC